UCAAAUUUGUUUAUGUACACAUUGUUUUGAAGCAGCUUUACAGAAAAUCAUGAUGUAAAAUGAGGAGUUAACCCAAAAACUGUAUUAAUCUAGAUUAUGGAUUUAUUUUGGUGGCUUAAAAUGAAAACACCUUAAUGAUUGUUUUUUUUUUUUUUUUUACAUGCAGCAUUUCACAAGACAUUAAAUGAAUGAUGGACUGCAGUUGUGUGGAUUAUUGUGGUGUUUUUAUCAGCUGUUAAGACUCUCAUUCUGACGGCACCCAUUCACUGCAGAGGAUCCAUUUUUGAGCAAGUGAUAUAAUGCUAAAUUUCACAAAUUUCAGUCUGUUCUGAUGAAGAUACAAACUCAUCCUCAUUGUGACGGCCUUUGGGAAUUCAGAGGACGCAGGAUUGUCCCUCAGUAGCAGACCGUACAGAGCUACCCAGUGAGCCACCAGUUUCACAACCUUCUGCUUGGUGUUAAGAGCAUACGCUGCCUUCUCCAGGUCUGUACCUUCUGAUGGCUCCGCUUGUGACAGGAUAUUGAUGCUGGAGGGCUGCACAGAGCUGGCUGUAGGGCAUGAAGACUGGAUGUGUUAAGAGGAAGUCGGUCACACUGGGAUCUGCAGAUGUACAAAACAGAGUCAUAAACUUCAUUAACAAGGACUUGUUUUCUUUACUGAGCUGUGUGGAGAAUCCCAGAACAUCCAAAUCAUCUGACUGCUGGAAUGUUUUGGUCUCUCCCUCAGUUCGUUCUUCUGCAGUGGUACUUUUAAUCGUCUCCAGCAUGUGUUCCAGGAUCUUCUCUGGUGUUCCUGACAUUACUGUGUACCUGAGAGAGGGAUUUAAAUGUCUUACUAAGACAUUAUUGGAAGAUACAGACAGAGUGACAACAGAUAUUUCUAUGCAUUUUAUGCGGACUCCUGCGCUGAGGUCUUCUCAAGAACCAGAACGACUUUACCGUGUUCCUCCAGGCGGACGGUGUUGGCCUCGACAUCCUGCAGUUACGUUCAGGAAGUGGCAGUUGUCCUCUCUCAGGAUGAUGGUGGCAGAACGAGGGGCGUCGUUCACCAAGGCCAGCUGCCCAAAGUCUUCUCCCUCAUGAAGCGUGGUCACCAAGCCCUGUGUGACGCACAUACACAAGAUCAUCUUUCCUUAAGAGGAUGCGCACAAUACUGUUCCCGCCUUGGCAUGGCUUUCAAAAACCAGCACUGCUGCCAGCUCCUUCCGAACCUGCGGGAGAGAAUGAAAGAAAUGAGGGAUGAAUGAAGAUUUGUGGCACAAACAAACAUGAUGGCUGUCAGCGAUUGUUGACUCACAGAUGUAGACAAGUGGGCCACAGCUUUGACGUGCAGAAGUUCUUCAUAAAUAACUUCCAGGUCCUCUGGAGUUCUCUGGCUUGGGCUAAAACGUGGACACGGAUUAUUACACACAGAAAUCGUAUUCUGUCCCAGCUUAAUAUCUUCAGACAACUAUAACUCACAAAUAUUUAGGCUUGAUUUGAUAUUGAUUUUAAAAGAGUCUGACAUUAGCGUGUUUCUAAGCCAAUGGUGAUACAUUAAAUGCAUAUUAGGUAGUCAAUUUUUUAUUAAACUGAACAAUUUUAAUUGGCUGAAUGAAAUCAAAGUUUCCGUCUGGUGACUUUAAAGCGCUCAGAAAUUACACUCUUCACCUUUAAGUGCUAGUACUAUAUAAAUGGUU
Molecule: long non-coding RNA, 1679 nt
Organism: Onychostoma macrolepis
Lineage: Eukaryota; Metazoa; Chordata; Actinopteri; Cypriniformes; Cyprinidae
Exons: 8
Source: RefSeq, a predicted model, not a curated record